Molecule: long non-coding RNA, 686 nt
Filed under: Apteryx owenii (little spotted kiwi)
Lineage: Eukaryota; Metazoa; Chordata; Aves; Apterygiformes; Apterygidae
Description: lncRNA (ENSAOWG00000008144.1)
Source: RNAcentral
GGUGACUCGCUCUGACACUGGCACACAAGGCUGGAGGACGAUGCCGGGGUGGGGAUGGGAGACUAGACAAAAUCAUGUGGCUCUGACUCACAGGAAGUUAUUUUUCAAAAUCUUUACUAAGAUCAUAUGUCCAACAGCCUGUGCCAAGCCCUGUAAGAAAUCGACCGUGUAUUAUCAUUUCAUUGAAAGAAGAGUGAAAGGAAGGACCAAACACUGUAGGAAUGCUGGUCAGUGAAGCUUGUGAAGCUGGUGGCUAUGCCAUGAUGGGAAGUUUUGCCAUUUAUAUAAAAGCUCUCUGCUGUGCUUGAGUGAGUCAUGCUGACAGAGGAGCUCAAGGCCAGUGCUGUGUGAGAUAGUUGCACUCAGCAUGAAUGCUGCAUGCAGAUGCUCCUUGUCUCUGUGAACUGGAGAUGCCCUUCUUGCAGGACGUUUCAUUCUUCACUCUCCUCAAGAUCCUGCUCAGAUCCUCCCUGUAAUCUUGCCAUCUCUCUUUGCGACACUGCAGCUCACACCCUGGAUGACGCACUGCCAUUUCUUAGCUCAUUAUGUUGUGUGGCUGCAAGUCCUGCUGCAAAACCAGCACGGAAAGAAACAACACGCAAAAGUAACAAAGCUAGUCCAGCCUCAAAGGUGGAUAUGCAGCUACUGCGAGUCACACCUUAAUUUCACAAUAAAGCAACCUUGCA